Long non-coding RNA from Phascolarctos cinereus (koala), 495 nucleotides. RefSeq lists it as uncharacterized. The record is from RefSeq and is a predicted model, not a curated record. NCBI's taxonomy places the organism in Eukaryota, Metazoa, Chordata, Mammalia, Diprotodontia, Phascolarctidae.
GAUUUUCCAAUUCUGGACCAUGCUCCCGGCAGCAACGGCAGGGAACUGCAGGACUGUUGGAGUUGGCAUCCACCAAGGUCCCACUACAAGAUGAUGCCAGCUGAAGGCACUUCACCACCAGCCAGCUGCAUUUGUUGUCCUGGAUGUCAGUACCAAUCUUGCCAGUCACACUUGGGUCACCAAAAAGGUCAAGGUGAGCUUGGGAUUAAUUUGUAAUAUGACCUGGGGAAAACCACUUGGGGAGCUUGAAAAAAGGAUCUUGCCUGCCCAGACCCAAGAAUCCAAGCCUCAAGGAUGGUCAUGCCCAUGCCAAGUGGGAACACUAGAAUUACUUGAGGGGAUGGAUGGGGAAGGAUCCUUGAAGAUCAUUUAGUCCAACUUCCUUCAUCUUGCACAAGAGAAAACCAAGAUCCAGAAAGAAGAAUGCACUGGGGCCAGCACGAGAACCCAGUUCUUCUGACUCUAAGGUCAGUGCAGUCUGACACCCACUGCCUG